UGUAACAACUGCACUGACAUGGGUAUGGAUUUGAAGCCUCUCGAAGGAUCACAUAGUCUCUUCAUACCCUACUCUUGCUCAAUACUGCCACGGCAUACAGAACGAAAAUAUGCCUCUCCAAACAUUAGUACUGGGGUAUACGGGUUAACCCAACGGCUGUGGGAGUAUGGGUGAUACAUAAGCCCUCCGACGA
Molecule: ribozyme, 193 nt
Filed under: Anopheles stephensi (Asian malaria mosquito)
Lineage: Eukaryota; Metazoa; Arthropoda; Insecta; Diptera; Culicidae
Description: drz-agam-2-2 ribozyme
Rfam family: drz-agam-2-2 ribozyme
Source: Rfam by way of RNAcentral